Molecule: ribosomal RNA, 424 nt
Filed under: uncultured Gammaproteobacteria bacterium
Lineage: Bacteria; Pseudomonadati; Pseudomonadota; Gammaproteobacteria
Description: bacterial SSU rRNA
Rfam family: Bacterial small subunit ribosomal RNA
Source: RNAcentral
GAGUUUGAUCCUGGCUCAGAUUGAACGCUGGCGGCGUGCCUAACACAUGCAAGUCGAGCGGUAACAGGUGUAGCAAUACAUGCUGACGAGCGGCGAACGGGUGAGUAAUGCUUCGGAAUCUGCCCAAUGGUGGGGAAUAACCAGCCGAAAGGUUGGCUAAUACCGCAUACGUCCUACGGGAGAAAGCAGGGGAUCGCAAGACCUUGCGCCGAUGGAUGAGCCGAAGUCGGAUUAGCUAGUUGGUAGGGUAACGGCCUACCAAGGCGACAAUCCGUAGCUGGUCUGAGAGGACGACCAGCCACACUGGGACUGAGACACGGCCCAGACUCCUACGGGAGGCAGCAGUGGGGAAUAUUGGACAAUGGGGGCAACCCUGAUCCAGCGACGCCGCGUGUGUGAAGAAGGCCUGCGGGUUGUAAAGCAC